Long non-coding RNA from Lolium perenne, 467 nucleotides. RefSeq lists it as uncharacterized. The record is from RefSeq and is a predicted model, not a curated record. NCBI's taxonomy places the organism in Eukaryota, Viridiplantae, Streptophyta, Magnoliopsida, Poales, Poaceae.
CAUAGUCGCCGCGGUUGUCCUGAUGCUCGCCGCGACGGCGACGGCGCAUUUCCGGAUGGACCUCAUGGACGGCUACAAGCCUCAGGCACGGAGGAGCAACGGCGGAGGCGGCGGCGGGGCAUUCGACUUCAUGAAAUUAUGGUAAUUUUGGCUGGAGCAUGGUUCUAUUAAGGAGUUCGGCGGCCUGAGGAACGUAUGUGUAUAUGACGCAUGCGACGCAUCUGGCCUAGAUAUAAGAUUUUUUUUCUUCAGAAUCGAAAGACAACAUUUAUAUUUUGCUAUCUGCAUGUAUUGUACAAUCACUCCAUCCAAGGACAGGUCCGGCCCUAAGGGCGGGUGAAAGGGGUGACCGCCCUGGCCCGUCCAUGAAAGGGCCUCAGCCCAUAUCAGCACAUACAUAUCUUGUAUAAUCUGCAUACAUAUUGAUGUAAAAAAAAGAUGUAAAUCUGUAUACAUUUUUUUGCUCA